GCCAGGUGUGGUGGCACACUCCUGUAAUCCCAGCGGCUCAGGAGGCUGAGACAGGAGGAUCGUGAGUUCAAAGACAGCCUCAGCAAAAGCAAGGCAGUAAGCAGCUCAGUGAGACCCUGACUCUA
RNAcentral lists this small RNA (125 nucleotides) under Marmota monax (woodchuck). The record is from RNAcentral. Lineage: Eukaryota; Metazoa; Chordata; Mammalia; Rodentia; Sciuridae.